CUCAUCAUCGUCCUCGCCCUCGUCAUCGUCACCACCAUCAACCGUCACCCGUCCACGUCCUUGUCAUCAACGACAACACAAUAUCACCAAUCAUAACCAUUCUGUGUGGCAACCACCUCUGUUGUGUGACAGGGGGAUAAAUGCCAACUUUCACUUGAUGUCGAGCAGUAUUCGAACAGCUCCAGGAUUUCUAAGAGCGUCACAUGAAUCCUGCUUACAAGGUGUCCAGUCAAGAGUACACAAGUCAAGGCCUCAGCAAAGCUUCCCAAAAGGUUUGCAGUAGACAGGGCAGAGACACCACGUACCAACAACUCUUAGGAGGGUUCCAACAGCAGACUGUCAAACAGGGCCCAGAAGAGCCAUCUUAAUGUGUAUGAACUUAUUUCACUUUCCAAACAAGAACAUUCCAACAAAGAAGUGUAUAUCAUGCACUGCAAGGUGGGCAGAAACAGAUAAAGAGGCGUCGUGUGGAACAUGCUUCAGCAACUUUGCAACAACUUGGUGUGGAAUACAUGACAUGUGACAGAGUUAUGGCGUCAUAUCUCUUCUGUGUCAGUGUGCUGGCUGGCAGUGUUGCUUAGUGAUUGGUGACUUUGAAGUGAUUGACUUUCAAAAGUUAACUGUUUUAGUUUUAGUGGUUUUGCUUUUUGUCUUAGUUUUUAGUCGUAUCUGACGCUUCUGUUACAGUAGCUCCCACAUUCACUGGCAAAUCCAGGAUUGAUUGUGAGCCGAGGACUGUCAAAACUGGGACGACUGGUAUGCUCACUUUCAAAAUUGGGACAACUGGCUAGAUCAAUUACAGAAAUGUGAAAUUUCACUGUCAACAUUGGGACUGUAAAAAUCGGGACUGAACCAGUUUGUCAUGUCCCGACACGUUAUUUUUAACAUAUUGGUAUCGCUAGUAAAACUGAAGUAUUGUGCGAGCUUGACAAACAAACAAUAAAAUGAAUUAAAUAAUAAAAAAAUAA
Molecule: long non-coding RNA, 968 nt
Organism: Haliotis rubra (blacklip abalone)
Lineage: Eukaryota; Metazoa; Mollusca; Gastropoda; Lepetellida; Haliotidae
Exons: 3
Source: RefSeq, a predicted model, not a curated record